RNAcentral lists this ribosomal RNA (279 nucleotides) under uncultured bacterium. Its description in RNAcentral is "partial 16S ribosomal RNA". It matches the Rfam family "Bacterial small subunit ribosomal RNA", at positions 506 to 784 of the family's 1533-position model. The record is from RNAcentral.
UGCCAGCAGCCGCGGUAAUACGAAGGUCCCAAGCGUUGUUCGGAAUUACUGGGCGUAAAGCGUGUGUAGGCGGCGGGGUAAGUCAGAUGUGAAAUCCCAGAGCUCAACUCUGGAACUGCAUCCGAUACUGCCUUGCUAGAGGGCUGGAGGGGGGUCUGGAAUUCUCGGUGUAGCAGUGAAAUGCGUAGAUAUCGAGAGGAACACUAGUGGCGAAGGCGAGACCCUGGACAGAUCCUGACGCUGAGACACGAAGGCUAGGGUAGCGAACGGGAUUAGAUA